This 480-nucleotide ribosomal RNA is filed under the name uncultured bacterium. Its description in RNAcentral is "bacterial SSU rRNA". It matches the Rfam family "Bacterial small subunit ribosomal RNA", at positions 20 to 507 of the family's 1533-position model. The record is from RNAcentral.
UGGCUCAGGACGAACGCUGGCGGCGUGCUUAACACAUGCAAGUCGAGCGGAAAGGCCCUUUCGGGGGUACUCGAGCGGCAACGGGUGAGUAACACGUGAGUAAUCUGCCCUUGGCUUUGGGAUAACUACCGGAAACGGUGGCUAAUACCGGAUAUGACCAUGCUCGGCAUCGGGUGUGGUGGAAAGUUUUUCGGCCAGGGAUGUGCUCGCGGCCUAUCAGCUUGUUGGUGGGGUAAAUGGGCCUACCAAGGCUUCGACGGUAGCCGGCCUGAGAGGGUGACCGGCCACACUGGGACUGAGACACGGCCCAGACUCCUACGGGAGGCAGCAGUGGGGAAUAUUGGACAAUGGGCGGAAGCCUGAUCCAGCAACGCCGCGUGAGGGAUGACGGCCUUCGGGUUGUAAACCUCUUUCAGUACCGACGAAGCGCCGAUGAUGGUGGUGACGGUAGGUACAGAAGAAGCACCGGCCAACUACGUG